This 337-nucleotide ribosomal RNA is filed under the name uncultured bacterium. RNAcentral describes it as "partial 16S ribosomal RNA". It matches the Rfam family "Bacterial small subunit ribosomal RNA", at positions 562 to 897 of the family's 1533-position model. The record is from RNAcentral.
AAAGGGCGUGNAGGCGGNNUGGUAAGUCUGAUGUGAAANCCCGGGGCUNAACCCNGGAAGGGCAUUGGAAACUGCUUGGCUUGAGUACCGGAGAGGAUGGNGGAAUUCCCGGUGUAGNGGUGAAAUNCGUAGAUAUCGGGAGGAANACCAGUGGCGAAGGCGGCCNUCUGGACCGAUACUGACGCUGAGNCGCGAAAGCGUGGGGAGCAAACAGGAUUAGAUACCCUGGUAGUCCACGCUGUAAACGAUGAGCACUAGGUGUAGGGGGUAUUGACCCCUGCUGUGCCGCAGCUAACGCAUUAAGUGCNCCNCCUGGGGAUUACGGUCGCNNGACUAA